CAGCAGCCGCGGGAAUACGUAGGUCCCGAGCGUUGUCCGGAUUUAUUGGGCGUAAAGCGAGCGCAGGCGGUUUGAUAAGUCUGAAGUUAAAGGCUGUGGCUCAACUAUAGUUCGCUUAGGAAACUGUCAAACUUGAGUGCAGAAGGGGAGAGUGGAAUUCCAUGUGUAGCGGUGAAAUGCGUAGAUAUAUGGAGGAACACCGGUGGCGAAAGCGGCUCUCUGGCUUGUAACUGACGCUGAGGCUCGAAAGCGUGGGGAGCAAACAGGAUUAGAUACCCGUGUAGUCCCUGUCUCUUAUACC
RNAcentral lists this ribosomal RNA (301 nucleotides) under uncultured bacterium. RNAcentral's name for it is "partial 16S ribosomal RNA". It matches the Rfam family "Bacterial small subunit ribosomal RNA", at positions 509 to 808 of the family's 1533-position model. The record is from RNAcentral.